UUUCCGGAUGGUAAACUCCGGUCGUUAGGGACGAUAANGACGGUACCAACCAAGAAAGCACCGGCAAACUACGUGCCAGCAGCCGCGGUAAAACGUAGGGUGCAAGCGUUGUCCGGAAUUACUGGGUGUAAAGGGAGCGCAGGCGGGAAGACAAGUUGGAAGUGAAAACCAUGGGCUCAACCCAUGAAUUGCUUUCAAAACUGUUUUUCUUGAGUAGUGCAGAGGUAGAUGGAAUUCCCGGUGUAGCGGUGGAAUGCGUAGAUAUCGGGAGGAACACCAGUGGCGAAGGCGGUCUACUGGGCACCAACUGACGCUGAGGCUCGAAAGCAUGGGUAGCAAACAGGAUUAGAUACCCUGGUAGUCCAUGCCGUAAACGAUGAUUACUAGGUGUUGGGGGAUUGACCCCCUCAGUGCCGCAGUUAACACAAUAAGUAAUCCACCUGGGGAGUACGACCGCAAGGUUGAAACUCAAAGGAAUUGACGGGGGCCCGCACAAGCAGUGGAGUAUGUGGUUUAAUUCGAAGCAACGCGAAGAACCUUACCAGGUCUUGACAUCCGAUGCAUAGCACAGAGAUGUGUGAAAUCCUUCGGGACAUCGAGACAGGUGGUGCAUGGUUGUCGUCAGCUCGUGUCGUGAGAUGUUGGGUUAAGUCCCGCAACGAGCGCAACCCUUAUUGCCAGUUACUACGUUAAGAGGACUCUGGCGAGACUGCCGUUGACAAAACGGAGGAAGGUGGGGAUGACGUCAAAUCAUCAUGCCCUUUAUGACCUGGGCUACACACGUACUACAAUGGCGUUAAACAAAGAGAAGCAAGACCGCGAGGUGGAGCAAAACUCAAAAACAACGUCUCAGUUCAGAUUGCAGGCUGCAACUCGCCUGCAUGAAGUCGGAAUUGCUAGUAAUCGCGGAUCAGCAUGCCGCGGUGAAUACGUUCCCGGGGCUUGUACACACCGCCCGUCACACAUGAGAACCCGGGGGGACCCGAGUCGAUAGUCUAACCGCAAGGGAGACGUCGCCGAAGGUAAAACUGGU
This 1033-nucleotide ribosomal RNA is filed under the name human gut metagenome. RNAcentral describes it as "bacterial SSU rRNA". It matches the Rfam family "Bacterial small subunit ribosomal RNA", at positions 415 to 1472 of the family's 1533-position model. The record is from RNAcentral.